This 441-nucleotide long non-coding RNA is filed under the name Capsella rubella. RNAcentral's name for it is "long non-coding RNA (CRUB_LNC004105)". Lineage: Eukaryota; Viridiplantae; Streptophyta; Magnoliopsida; Brassicales; Brassicaceae. The record is from RNAcentral.
AGAGAAAUACAUAAUAUAAGUUUCACAAGCCCAUGACUCCUAAGUCUCAACAAAAUCAUAGAUGGAGAAGAUCCAUCAAUGGUGGGUAACCGCAAUCCUUCUUACAACGUUGAUGACAAGCAUUGUCUGUUCCACAACCAACAUCACAGUUUCUGAAACAUAUGAUACGUUGGUCUACAUCAUUGACCCUUGUCAAUGGUGGGUAACCACAAUCCUUCUUACAACGUGCAUGGCAAGCAUCGUCAGUUCCACAGCCAACAUCACAGUUUCUGAAACAUAUGAUACGUUGGUCUACAUCAUUGACCCUUUUCAAAGGUGGGUAACCACAAUCCUUCUUACAACGUGCAUGGCAGGCAUUGUCAGUGCCACAACCAACAUCGCAGUUUCUGAAACAUAUGAUACGUUGGUCUACAUCAUUGACCCCUGUAAACAUCAUAGGUA